This 805-nucleotide ribosomal RNA is filed under the name Bacillus licheniformis. RNAcentral describes it as "bacterial SSU rRNA". It matches the Rfam family "Bacterial small subunit ribosomal RNA", at positions 10 to 796 of the family's 1533-position model. The record is from RNAcentral. Lineage: Bacteria; Bacillati; Bacillota; Bacilli; Caryophanales; Bacillaceae.
AGUUUGAUCCUGGCUCAGGACGAACGCUGGCGGCGUGCCUAAUACAUGCAAGUCGAGCGGACCGACGGGAGCUUGCUCCCUUAGGUCAGCGGCGGACGGGUGAGUAACACGUGGGUAACCUGCCUGUAAGACUGGGAUAACUCCGGGAAACCGGGGCUAAUACCGGAUGCUUGWUUGAACCGCAUGGUUCAAWCAUAAAAGGUGGCUUUUMGCUACCACUUACAGAUGGACCCGCGGCGCAUUAGCUAGUUGGUGRGGUAACGGCUCACCAAGGCGACGAUGCGUAGCCGACCUGAGAGGGUGAUCGGCCACACUGGGACUGAGACACGGCCCAGACUCCUACGGGAGGCAGCAGUAGGGAAUCUUCCGCAAUGGACGAAAGUCUGACGGAGCAACGCCGCGUGAGUGAUGAAGGUUUUCGGAUCGUAAAACUCUGUUGUUAGGGAAGAACAAGUACCGUUCGAAYAGGGCGGYACCUUGACGGUACCUAACCAGAAAGCCACGGCUAACUACGUGCCAGCAGCCGCGGUAAUACGUAGGUGGCAAGCGUUGUCCGGAAUUAUUGGGCGUAAAGCGCGCGCAGGCGGUUYYUUAAGUCUGAUGUGAAAGCCCCCGGCUCAACCGGGGAGGGUCAUUGGAAACUGGGGAACUUGAGUGCAGAAGAGGAGAGUGGAAUUCCACGUGUAGCGGUGAAAUGCGUAGAGAUGUGGAGGAACACCAGUGGCGAAGGCGACUCUCUGGUCUGUAACUGACGCUGAGGCGCGAAAGCGUGGGGAGCGAACAGGAUUAGAUACCCUGGUAGUCC